GCUAUAGCUCAGUGGUAGAGAAUCCGCUUUGCACGCAGAAGAUCUCUGGUUCAAUCCCCGGCACCUGCA
Podarcis lilfordi (Lilford's wall lizard) is the source of this 69-nucleotide non-coding RNA. The record is from the annotation of a GenBank genome assembly. Lineage: Eukaryota; Metazoa; Chordata; Lepidosauria; Squamata; Lacertidae.